This 839-nucleotide ribosomal RNA is filed under the name human gut metagenome. RNAcentral describes it as "bacterial SSU rRNA". It matches the Rfam family "Bacterial small subunit ribosomal RNA", at positions 8 to 849 of the family's 1533-position model. The record is from RNAcentral.
AGAGUUUGAUCCUGGCUCAGGACGAACGCUGGCGGCGUGCUUAAAACAUGCAAGUCGAACGGAGUUUAUGAGUAGCUUGCUACGAUUAAACUUAGUGGCGGACGGGUGAGUAACACGUGAGCAACCUGCCUAUCACAGGGGAAUAACACUUAGAAAUAGGUGCUAAUACCGCAUAUGACCACAGACCGGCAUCGGUUAGAGGUGAAAGGAGUUAAAUCUGGUGAUAGAGGGGCUUGCGUAUCAUUAGCUUGUUGGUGAGGGUAACGGCCCACCAAGGCAACGAUGAUUAGCCGAUCUGAGAGGAUGACCGGCCACACUGGAACUGAGAUACGGUCCAGACUCCUACGGGAGGCAGCAGUUAGGAAUAUUGGGCAAUGGAGGAAACUCUGACCCAGCAACGCCGCGUGAAGGAUGAAGGUUCUCGGAUUGUAAACUUCUAUCUGUAGGAAAGAAACAAAUGACGGUACCACAGGAGAAAGCUCCGGCUAACUACGUGCCAGCAGCCGCGGUAAUACGUAGGGAGCAAGCGUUGUCCGGAAUAACUGGGCGUAAAGGGAGCGUAGGUGGCGAUUUAAGUGAAAUGUGAAAGCCCGGGGCUCAACUCCGGAAUGUCAUUUCAUACUGGAUUGCUUGAGUGCAGGAGGGGUAAGCGGAAUUCCUAGUGUAGCGGUUAAAUGCGUAGAUAUUAGGAAGAACACCAGAGGCGAAGGCGGCUUACUGGACUGUAACUGACACUGAGGCUCGAAAGCGUGGGGAGCAAACAGGAUUAGAUACCCUGGUAGUCCACGCCGUAAACGAUGGAUACUAAACGUGGGUGGUAUCGACUCCAUCCGUGUUGU